AGUGAACGCUGGCGGCAGGCCUAACACAUGCAAGUCGAGCGGCAGCGCGUCCGACCACCCUCGGGUGGUCGGAUGGCGGCGAGCGGCGGACGGGUGAGGAAUGCAUCGGAAUCUGCCUCGUUGUGGGGGAUAACGUAGGGAAACUUACGCUAAUACCGCAUACGACCUACGGGUGAAAGUGGGGGACCUUCGGGCCUCACGCGAUGAGAUGAGCCGAUGCCGGAUUAGCUAGUUGGCGGGGUAAAGGGCCCGACCAAGGCGACGAUCCGUAGCUGGUCUGAGAGGAUGAUCAGCCACACUGGAACUGAGACACGGUCCAGACUCCUACGGGAGGCAGCAGUCGGGGAAUAUUGGACAAUGGGGGCGAACCCUGAUCCAGCCAUGCCGCGUGUGUGAAGAAGGCCUCGGUUGUAAG
This 415-nucleotide ribosomal RNA is filed under the name uncultured bacterium. RNAcentral describes it as "bacterial SSU rRNA". It matches the Rfam family "Bacterial small subunit ribosomal RNA", at positions 30 to 429 of the family's 1533-position model. The record is from RNAcentral.